UUCGGGUUGUAAACCUCUUUCAGCACAGACGAAGCGCAAGUGACGGUAUGUGCAGAAGAAGGACCGGCCAACUACGUGCCAGCAGCCGCGGUAAUACGUAGGGCGCAAGCGUUGUCCGGAUUUAUUGGGCGUAAAGAGCUCGUAGGCGGCCUGUCGCGUCUGCUGUGAAAGCCCGGGGCUUAACUCCGGGUCUGCAGUGGAUACGGGCAGGCUAGAGGCCGGUAGGGGAAAGUGGAAUUCCUGGUGUAGCGGUGAAAUGCGCAGAUAUCAGGAGGAACACCGGUGGCGAAGGCGGCUUUUCUGGGCCGGGCCUUGACGCUUGAGGAGCGAAAGCGUGGGGAGCGAACAGGAUUUAGAUACCCUGGUAGUCCAAGGGCGAAA
RNAcentral lists this ribosomal RNA (381 nucleotides) under uncultured bacterium. Its description in RNAcentral is "bacterial SSU rRNA". It matches the Rfam family "Bacterial small subunit ribosomal RNA", at positions 417 to 806 of the family's 1533-position model. The record is from RNAcentral.